GAUGAACGCUGGCGGCGUGCCUAAUACAUGCAAGUCGAGCGAAAAGACGAGGAGCUUCCUCUUCUGACGUUAGCGGGGGACGGGUGAGUAACAGGUGGAUAACUUACUUAUAAGACUGGGAUAACUUCGGGAAACCGGGGCUAAUACGGGAUAAAAUGUGAAACCGCAGGGUCAAACAGGGAAAGACGGUCUUGCUGUCACUUAUAGAUGGAUCCGCGUCGCAUUAGCUAGUUGGUAAGGUAACGGCUUACCAAGGCAACGAUGCGUAGCCGACCUGAGAGGGUGAUCGGCCACACUGGAACUGAGACACGGUCCAGACUCCUACGGGAGGCAGCAGUAGGGAAUCUUCCGCAAUGGGCGAAAGCCUGACGGAGCAACGCCGCGUGAGUGAAGAAGGUCUUCGGAUCGUAAAACUCUGUUAUUAGGGAAGAACAAAUGUGUAAGUAACUAUGCACGUCUUGACGGUACCUAAUCAGAAAGCCACGGCUAACUACGUG
RNAcentral lists this ribosomal RNA (497 nucleotides) under uncultured bacterium. RNAcentral describes it as "partial 16S ribosomal RNA". It matches the Rfam family "Bacterial small subunit ribosomal RNA", at positions 28 to 507 of the family's 1533-position model. The record is from RNAcentral.